AUUGAACGCUGGCGGCAUGCUUUACACAUGCAAGUCGAACGGCAGCGCGGGCUUCGGCCUGGCGGCGAGUGGCGAACGGGUGAGUAAUACAUCGGAACGUGCCCAGUAGUGGGGGAUAGCUCGGCGAAAGCCGGAUUAAUACCGCAUACGACCUGAGGGUGAAAGCGGGGGAUCUUCGGACCUCGCGCUAUUGGAGCGGCCGAUGGCAGAUUAGCUAGUUGGUGGGGUAAAGGCCUACCAAGGCGACGAUCUGUAGCUGGUCUGAGAGGACGACCAGCCACGCUGGGACUGAGACACGGCCCAGACUCCUACGGGAGGCAGCAGUGGGGAAUUUUGGACAAUGGGCGAAAGCCUGAUCCAGCAAUGCCGCGUGUGUGAUGAAGGCCUUCGGGUUGUAAAGCACUUUUGGCGGGAACGAAAAGGACUGUGCCAAUACCACGGUUCGAUGACGGUACCCGCAGAAUAAGCACCGGCUAACUACGUG
RNAcentral lists this ribosomal RNA (484 nucleotides) under uncultured bacterium. RNAcentral describes it as "partial 16S ribosomal RNA". It matches the Rfam family "Bacterial small subunit ribosomal RNA", at positions 29 to 507 of the family's 1533-position model. The record is from RNAcentral.